This 59-nucleotide transfer RNA is filed under the name Alopoglossus buckleyi (Buckley's teiid). RNAcentral describes it as "tRNA-Ser". The record is from RNAcentral. Lineage: Eukaryota; Metazoa; Chordata; Lepidosauria; Squamata; Alopoglossidae.
AAGAGUGUAUAAGACACUGCUAACGUCUUUAACCCAGUUCUAAUCCAUCUGGCACUCUU